This 506-nucleotide long non-coding RNA is filed under the name Anser brachyrhynchus (Pink-footed goose). RNAcentral describes it as "lncRNA (ENSABRG00000001607.1)". Lineage: Eukaryota; Metazoa; Chordata; Aves; Anseriformes; Anatidae. The record is from RNAcentral.
UGUUUUGAGUGGCUGCCAGUAUUUUGUAAUCAGUGUUGUAAAGUUUUGUGAUACUCUUGAUGUCUGCAGAUGUUAUGUGGCCCGUGGCACAGAGCUGAUGUUCUAAAUUACCAAUUAUAUACCUAAUGGAGCCCCGAGAACCAACUCCUGCCCUCCUUUGGGUACCGGGGCAGUCUUUAAAUGCCAGCAAAGGACCGAUGCUAUAAAUAAAACUCUGUCUCCAUAGCGACAGGCAGUUCAGUGCUCAGCUUUCAACACUUUAAGAAGAUCAAGUUGAAGGCAACUUCUAAGUCCUAUCUGCUACUGCUUUAAGUGGUGACUGAGAGGAGUUCUCACUGGGAACUGGAUGACUCUUCAGUCUGAUGAAUGAAGGAAGGCAUGUAAUGGACAUCUCGGAAUCUCUGCCUUAGCUUCUUGAUGCCAACUGUACCUGCUUCAAGCAAGAGUGUUCCAGUUCUUAAAGAUCUCCUACACAGCAUAGCUACUGCAAUGCCAAGUCCAUUGUG